GAAUUAAGAAAUCGGGGAUGAAAAAUCUACAAGUAUGGAAAAUAAUAAAUAAGUAUCAUUAAGUGUUCUAAAAUGUCAUGAAACAAUCUUGACAAAAAACAUGUUAUAAAACAACAGAUAUCUAUGCAUAUCAUGGAUCCAGAAGUAGCUAAUGUAGUUGUAAAGAAUGACAACUGAUACACGCGUGCAUAAGGUAAUAUUUGUGGGCAUCAGGGGAAAAGCCUGCCUUGCAAAUUAUGAAAAAGCUCCAUUUUCUACAACAUGUCCAGAUCUUUGGAAACUCACUGAUGAAUCCACCCAGCCUUCAGCCUUGGCUCGUUCAACGUACUGUGCAAACUUUUUCUCAGCAUCAGGAAAGUCCAAAGCUAAGUCGUCAAGUGAUUCUGCUAAUCUGCCAAAGCCUUUGGUCAUCUGAUUCAUCGUUAUGAGCCCGGUGCUAAAACACGGUCUGAGUAAAUCCCACAAUCUAUCAUUUUUCUUUUCUAUGAUUGCCACUAGUGAUUUCUAAUUUCUUAACAACCUCAUGGUUGAAAAAUGGGCAUAUUCAACUCCUUUACGAAAAAUGGCGGACCCUAGUAUGGGCUACGCAGCCCAGGCCACUAUGAAUUUUUGUUGAAAAAUUUUACUAAUAUUUAGCUACUGCUGAGUCUGAAGUAUUUUAGCCCGGACAGUUAUAACUUCUAAACUUGGACAGAUUUUUAUUUAAAAUAUUAUGUUUCAAAUUUUUUUGUUUUGUCUAAAAAUAAGGAUCAUAUACUUUUAUACAAAACAAAAAAAUUUCAAAAAUAUUAUAUAUAAGUAUGCCUAUCGAUCAAAUUGAAAUACUUGAAAAAAUCAAGUGUCAUCCUUUUUGAGAAAGAGGAGUACAUAUUACUGCAACAACCCAUGUAAUUCACCACUCGCCUUACUCUGCCCCACACAAACACACAUUUCACCCCUCUCUCCCCUCUCCGUCUUCGAUACUAUAUACAUUAUAUAUACUCUCGCAUCCGCUUUUGACACACGCCUUUUCUUAAAUUACACAAGGUGUGUUCCUCUUCCUACCAAUAUGUUCUUAGUCAGUUAUCAUUAUAUUAUGAGCUAAUGUAUAUAUCAAUUAUCAAGUGAGUUAUUGUACUAUAUAUGUAUGUGUUUAUAUAUGUAAAUGUAUUGUUUUUUUUUAAAGAUAAUGUAAAUGUAUUGUUAAUCAACUUUAUAUUAUUCGUAUAAUUAAUUUGUGUGCGAUUGCAGUUGUGUGUGUAAUCAUUUGUUAUAUUGUUAUUUGAUUUCUUCACCUGAUAGUCGUGUGUAUUUAUAGUUACGAGAAUAGAGUGAUCGCACUAUUAUAUAUGUUCCAAUGAGUGUAUAAUUAUUGUAAUUUGUGCAUGACUGCUUAAUUGUGUAGUUGUGACUUACGAGUGUAUUUGCGAUUGUGUGGAUUUGUUUAUUAUAUUUACUGUUUGUGUACGUCAAUGGAGUGAUUGCACUAUUUAUGUAUGUAUCUAUACAUAUGCUUUUUUUUUUGACAAAAUCUAUACAUAUGCUUUAAAUGUAUUGUUUAUCACUUUCUAGAUCAUGUAUAUGCUGUGAGAUAAUGCAUGCGAGUGUGUGUGUGUUUGUGAUACUGAUGAAUUGUUUUUGUGAAUUGAUAAUUAGAAAUGUUGGCAAUGGCAGGAGAAAAAAGCAAGGCUUGAUAAUAAGGUGGAAUGUGUCCAUUGUCCUAUUCAAUUUUACAACAAGAAAGAGUUUGAGCUCACAUUAUCGCAUUGUUCAUCAUAACAUCAUGUGUGGAUGUGGCAACUGGUUUGCGAACUUGGCUCAUAGGAGCUCUGAAUAUCUUGUGUUUACUUCUACUAUCAUGUAAACUUUCACAUUUAUACUCAUAUAAUCAUUCUCUAAUAUGCUCUCUAUUUCCACGUAACUUUACUCUGCUCUCAUGUAUAAAAAAUAUAUAAUAUCAUUUGUGAAUUGACAUUACUUUAAAAUUUUAAUACAUGCUCUUUGCCUAUAUAUUUAUCUAGUGUAAGUAUCCAACGACCUCUUUUCUCCUUUUCUUUUCUGUAAAUGCUGGUUAGUUGGUCAGCUACAGGGCGGAUCCUGUUUGGGGCCUCGGUUUACCCCUUAAAUUUUUAUCCCUAAUUUUAUAUAAUUACAUAAUGUCGUGCAAUGGUAAAAAAUUACAUAAUUCGAAUAUUAAAAUUUUGUUUUCUAUGUUAUCAUUUCGGUAUCCACCAGAAGAUGACUUAUUUAUGCUGUGCAACGGCAAAGAAUUACAUAAUAUGAAUAUUAAAUUUCUUUUAUGUUCAUUCCGAUUAGUCAUCGUUACAAAAUAUUAUAUAUGACCUCUCUUAUUUUUGGAGCCGGAUCCGCCAUUGCUUAGCCAUAUUUGAUUCUUCUUUAUUUGAUUGUUAACAAAAAUACAAAAAAUAUAGAGAAUUAAGAGGAUUUGAAUCUUUUGACUUAAAAAGAAUAAGUGAUUAACUUGACGGGAAAAUUUAUCUAGGAGCUUAAUUACUAUGUUGAUGGUUUUGAGACACUUAUAUAUCAACCUAUCUUCAUAUUAUAAGUAAAAGACUAUAUUGGUUUCAAACUUUCUUUAGAAUAUAAAAUGACCUUCCAAGAAAAAUGUUUACAAUUUCAAUAUAUAAAUAGAACCCACAACCUGUAAAAUGAUUCAAACUUUUUUUGUAUCCUGAAUUUAUCUCAAAAUGAUGACUGUGCUUAAUUUGUAAAGUGUUUUCCGAAUAAAUUCAAUUGAAUAUUAAAAAUUUUAUUUUCCACAUAUCAAAUUAUUUUUUCGUAUGACUCUUGAUUGCCUUAAAAAAUUUUGGUAAAAUAGUAGUGAUAAAUAUUCAAAUAAUUAUAGUGAAAAAUUAUAUGCUAAGGAAACUACAGUAAAGUGGGUAAAGGAGAGCUACCAACUUAUAUAUAGGUAUUUUUUCACAAUUGUUCAUAAAAAUCAGAAGCGAUUGAACAAUAAAAUUUUAAAUGAUUAAAAGUUGGUAAUAUAUAUUCUAUCUUCUGAAUUAAAUUUAUAGUAAACAAAAUAUUUUCCAAAAAUAAAUUUAGAUAAAAUAAUCAAGAUAUAACUAUAAAAUCCAUGCAAAGCUUUCAUUAAUUUCAGAUCAUACUACCAUUUAAUCUGCAUAGAAAUAAACGAAUUUUUUUUAUAACAUUGCUUAAAAUUUUCAUUCCAAUAAAAAUAAAAAAAGAUCCGAGCAUUCCAUAUUGCUCACUUUGAUUGAAAAUCCCUAACCGUAAAUUAAAAUAAUAUAUAAAAAUAUCAUUAGUCGGCAUCAUAUUAAUUUUGAAUUUUCAAAUAAAACUAAUAAUUAACUAAAAAUAAUAUAUUUAACUCUGAUUAAAAGAGUCUUUUUUUUUUUUUUACGAAAGCUGAAGUUUUAUUACCAAUUCAAAUCCGUCUUAAUACAAUGAUUGACUGAAAUCGGGAUAUCCAUAUUGAAACUACAAGCUGGGUAACUAUAUAUAUGAUUCGUUCGCUACAUGUUACAAAGACACUUUGUUUAAACGUUGAAGAUGAGGGAAAUCAUAUUUGUAGACCAUUUAACAUGAUACAAAGACACUUUGUUUAAACGUUGAAGCUGACUCCGACACCCCUCAAAAACUCAGAUUACAUGUUAUUUUUUAUUAGAUUAGAUUUUUACAAAAAAUUAACUUUUUGGGUCCAAACCUCUAUUUCGAUCCGCUGACUAUCAAACACUAUAUUAGCGGAUUUUAGUGGUCAACCUUCUAAAACACCCGAAACCUCUAAUUUUGCUCCAAACUUCUAACUUCCAAACCGGCUUAUAUCUGUGAAUAAUAUCGAUUUGACUAUUAAUAUCAAUAUAAAUCUUUAUUUAUUUGAAAUCUUAAACAUGAUAGUAAUUUUAUAGAGUUGUUUCAUAAAUUAAAUUAUUUGAGUUUAAAGAAAUUAAAAUAAAUAAUUUUAUUGAUGGUAUAGUUGUUGAUUUACGAAAUCCUAACUACGAUAGAAGUCUUUUUUUAAUAGUAUAACAUUGAAGUCUUUAAUUAUAAAAUCCUAAUUAAUAUCAAAGUCUAAUAAUUAUAAAAUCCUAAUCGAUAUUGAAGUUUUUAAUUAUAAAAUCCUAAUUAAUAUGAAAGUCUUUUCAUAAUAAUAUAAUAAAAUUAUAAAAUCCUAACCAAUACAAAUUUCUUUUGACAUUAGUUUAAUGAUUAUUGUUAUUAUUAAAUAAAAAAUUAUAUGAUUACAAAAUCCUAAUAAUUAUAGGAGUCGUCUUUAAUUAUAAUAUCAUAAUCAAUUCAUGAAUAUUAUAAAAUCCUCACAAAUAUAAGUCUUCUAAAGAUCAUACAAUACUUAGGUGUAUAAUAAUAAUAAUAAUUAAAUAUAAUAUAAGAUUACCAAAUUUUGAUACUUUUAAUAAUAAUAAUUUUUUUUUGCCGAAAAUAAUAAUAAUUAAAUAUAAUAUAAGAUGAUCAAAAUUUGGUAUUUUGGUAAUGAUGCUUCACCAAGAGGUGGUUUGGCUUGUUAACAAAUGGUAUCGAGAUUCGAGGAUACUCUACUACUUGGAUGUUUUGUGCAGGGCUCUUCAUGAGAAAGAGAAAAGGUUCCAAACGCGGAUUAACUUGUACUCAGUUCUUCCUCAUAGCUUUCAUUUGUAGCUAAGUAGCUUUGCUUUCUACAUCUUUCCUGGCUAUCUCUUCAAGUGUUAACUUCCUUUUCAUGGAUCUGCUGGGUCUUCCCGAAAUCUGUUCUAGCACAACAACUUGGUUCUGGACUCCACGGCCUAGGAAUUGGUGCCAUUGGCCUUGACUGGUCUUCCAUUUCUGCCUAUCUUCCCCUGUUCAUGUAUGUUGUCACAUCUAUAAGCUACUGGCUCGAUGUUUAUGAAGCGAAAAAAAUUCCCCAUAUUCUCUGAUGAUCUCUUUAUCACCAUUCACCAAUAUGUUUAUAAGUCAGCGAGCUAAUGUAUAUAUCAAUUAUCAAGUGAGUUACUAUAUAUGUAAAUAUAUUGUUAAUCAACUUUAUAUUAUUCGUGUAAAUUGUGUGCGAUUGCAGUUGUGUGUGUAAUCGUUUGUUAUAUUGUUAUUUGAUAUUUUCACCUGAUAGUCGUGUGUAUUUACAGCUAUGAGAAGAGAGUUAUCUCACUAUUAUAUAAUAGUAUUUAUACGUGCGGUGCAAGGCCUUUCUAAAUUUAAAUUAUGUACUAAAAAUAAUAUUUACAAUAAAUAUUGAAGAAUCGUAAUAUAGUGAUUUCAAAAAAUGGAAUAUUAAUUAAUAAGUAUAACUGCUUGCAAACUAAGUUGUGAAACACAAAUGAUUCUACGAAUUUGAUAUUGUUUAUGCACUUUGAACUUAUUUCCAUUAACUUCGUGUGGCUCCAUUAGUAACAACUGUGCAAAUACUUACUUCAAACUCCGUAACAAUUUUAGGUGAAUUAUCACCUUAAAUAGCAUAUUACCAUUUGUCAUCUCAUUGAUGCAUUCCAUCAAACAUUUUAUAAAUUUUGUAUCAAAAUCACGCCUGCAUGAAAUAAUAAUAAAAUAUAUAAUUUUAUUAGAACGAAAACAUAACAUUAGUUCCAAAAUCUUCUCAACAUCGCUUUCGGCAAUACCUCGACUUCUAUAUAUUAACACUCACAAAUUAAUAUCUAAAUAAUAUAUAAUUUAAUGAAUAAAAAGAUGACAUACGAUCAGUGCAACUCUACCAAAAUAAUAAAAGCAGUGAUGCGAAGAUUCCAAUGCAAACCCUUAUCAUUAAUGCAUUUCAUCAAACACCUCAGUGAAACAUUCCAUAAAUGAUUUACUGUUGUAAGUAUGACACUGUCAAUGAAUCAUGGUUGUCAUGUCGGUCGACUAGUCGCGACUAGUCGACGACUAGUCGACUAAGCGGUGAAUGGAUGUCGACUCAACAUGUCGACUAGGUGAAUGUCGAUAUCUCGGUCGCUUGGUCGACUAGUCAACGACUAGUCGACUAGUCGAGUUUGGGCCACCGACUAGUCGACUGUUUUUCUGCAAUUUGCAUUCUGCAUAAUUAAUUCUGCAUAAGUUUUGUUAUUUGUUUACUAUACUGAUACAUCACAUCAUUAUCACAUAAUUGAUAUUUAUCAAUUUUGAGCUUGAACUUGAUACAUAUUUUACGUGAUCAUGAGUACUUUGCUUUGUUAACUAUUUUCGAUUUUCCAUCAUUCUCUGUAAGUGUCCGGUUCUUAAUUCUUAGAAUCUGAAAUAAAAUAUUAUAAAAGAUACAUAAUACAAAUAUAUGUAUGUGUUUAUAUGUAUAUAAUAUAUUUUUAAUUUAUAAUAAAUAUAUAUAUUUUUUAGCGACUAGUCUACGAGUAGUCCAUGACUAGUCGACUAGUCGACUAGCGGGAGGUCUAUCGACUCGCCUCGACUCAUCGACGUGACAACCAUGCAAUGAAUAUUGCUAAUAUUAAAAAAUAUCACUACAUAUAAUUUUAUCAUAAGGAAAUAUAAUACUAUUAUCAUGUGCAUCCGUUGUCUGGGGAUUAAUUGGACCUCGAAGAACUUUUUGCUAGGAGCAAUUGCUCCAGUUCCUGUCUGGUUGGCUCAAAAAGCAUUUCCUAACCAAGAUUGGAUUAGGCUCGUUAACAUGCCAGUACUUAUAGGCGCAGCAGGACUGAUGCCAGCAGCUACCGCAAUUAACUACAGUGCAUGGAUUAUGGUUGGAUUUUUAUCUGGAUUUGUAGUGUGCAAAUAUAAACCUGAUUGGUGGCAACGGCACAAUUAUGUUCUUUCUGGUGCACUGGAUGCUAGACUGGCUUUUAUGGGAGUGUUACUGUAUCUAUGUUUAGGAUUGGAAAAUAUCGGUCUUAAUUGGUGGGGUAAUGAACUUGAUGGAUGUCCUUAUGCUUCCUGUCCGACAGCUCAAGGGAUUGUGGUCGAUGGCUGCCCUGUGGUUAUUAUUAGCCAGCAAAAGGAAUCAUGUGAUGCAUUUCUUUCAUUGGGGCUUCACUUUGUAUAGCUAGCUAGUACUGUCCUUUGUAUUCUUUUCUUGUUAUUGUUUCUGUCCAAAUAAUCGGUCAUUGCUUGAUUUCAACCUUGUCUGUCAAGUUUCCUUCCAGAGACUGUACUACCACAGAAGCCUGGACAAUAUGUCAACUUUGAAUCACACACGCCCCCACAAAACUUGAUAAAGAUACAGGCUUCUGCCCUCGACUAGAGAGUGCAAUUUAAUCAGAGCUGCCAGUAUGAAAGGUGUCAAUGUCCUCUCAACUGAACUGAACCAGUAUAUUCUUAAAGAAUGGGAACUCCGGUUUUCCGUCUUACUUAGCCUUUUAAUUCAGAUCUUCUUAAUUGUUACUGGAACCUUGAGAAGGUCAUCACAAAGAUGGAUUGACAUUCUUCUGUGGUUAGCCUAUUUGCUUGCAGAUAUUGUUGCUGUUUUUGGGCUUGGACUCAUUGUAAGCAAGCAAAGUUUGUAUGCCAUAUAUUGCAUCGAAGGUCAACACUAUGCUCAGCAACGUUCUGCUUGUUACCAGGACUGUGUUCAUGUCUACUGGGCUCCAUUUUUACUCGUACACCUUGGCGGUCCAGACUUCAUCACUUCUUUUUCACCCGAGGACAAUGCACUGUGGCGAAGACAUUUGUUUUAUCUGGCUUCACAGUGCAUUACUGUAGCUUAUUGUUUCUAUCAAUCUCACCAAUUCAGCCAGCAACUAAGGAUCCCAGCGAUGCUCAUGUUUUUGUGUGGACUUAUCAAGUGUUCUGAGCGUAUAUGUGCUCUGUACUAUGCAAGUGCAAACAGCUUCCGCAGGUCCCUACUUUCAUUACCUGAUUUGGAUGCUUACGAUCUUUUAAAAAAAGAUAUCACAGCUCGUCCCAGACUUCAGCAUCUAGAGAAUAUGAAUUCUUCUUUGUCCCAUUUAGAAGUGUUGCAGUAUGCUUUUGUAUACUUCAAUACAUUCAAAAGGCUUGUUGCUGAUCUCAUUUUGGGAAUCCAUGAUCGCAACCUGAGCCGAGGGUUCUUUCUUGUUACAUCAUACAAAGACGCUUUCAGGAUAGUUGAGGUAGAGUUGAAUUACAUUUAUGAUGUUCUUUUCACCAAAUUACCUGUGUUGCAUCACAAAUUCGGCUACUGCAGCAGAACUCUAUCCUUCGUUGCAGUUGUUGCUUCCUUUGCGCUCUUCCAUUUUGUGGUAAAAAAGGAAAAGAUUUUUGGGCUUGAUCAAGUGAUAACUUACGUUCUGCUUAUUGGUGCAAUUGCCUUGGAUGUAAUUCAGUUUUUUAUGCUACUCACCUGUAACUGCACAGUUGUUAAGAUCUUGCCUUUGUCUAAUGCAAACGCCAACAGCAAACCAUGGAAACUUAUGUUCGGUGAAUGGAUACUCUUUGUGAAUAGGACUAGGAAUACUUUCCUGGAUUGGUUGCUGGGUAUAUUUAGACGCAGAGAGUGUGACACAUUUACUAAUAGCAGGUGCGCUGAAUCUUUGUCAACAAUCAAUCUGAUUUCUUUUUGCUUAAACAGAGGUUCAAAAGGAAGAAGACAGUUUCAUAAUUAUUUUGGCCUUGCCAAUUUUCUGAAUGGCAUCUGGCAUGUAAAACCACGGCUACUUACCCAUGACAUGACUAGUUUUAUAUUCGACGAGCUGAAAGUAAAAUCAAUGGUAGCUAACAGUUUAGAAACAGCUGAACGAAUAUGUUCAUCCAAAGGAGAGUGGGUACUACAAGAAAUUGAAGGUCAUGAUGCUUUUCUUCCUUUUGUCAGUAAUUAUAACUACGCUGAAACUGUUCUUCUGUGGCACAUUUCUACUGAACUCUGUUGCAACGGCAGCCAAGAUCAAGUCACUUAUUAUGCACAACGCGACAUUGCAAAGAACUUAUCAGACUACAUGCUAUAUCUGUUGGUUAUGAAGCCUGAUAUGGUGUCCUCAGUUUCUAGUGCUGGGAAUAAAAUGUUCCUAGAUACUUGCAUUGAGGUUGGCAAAUUAUUUGACAUCAAAUUACCCGAACUAAAGAAGAGAAUGAGCGGUUUCUUUGGCAGAGAGAGCAAGAAAGAGAAGGAGGCUUUACACAUUAAGGCCUGUGAAACAAUUUUUUGCAUCAAUAGAGAUGUUAAGCCGGUUCUCUUACAAAAGGAGGAUCGAUAUAAAUUGUUAUUGUUUGAUGCAUCAGUUCUAGCCAAAGAGCUGAAACUGUUACCUUUGGAGCAAAAAUGGUUAACAAUAAGCAAAUUGUGGGUAGAACUGCUAUCAUAUGCGGCAACUCAUAUCAGGUCAAGUGCUCAUGUUCAGAACUUAAGUAAAGGCGGUGAGCUAAUAACUGUUGUUUGGUUACUGAUGGCUCAUUUCGGAUUGGGAGAUCAGUUUGAGAUCAGCUGUGUUGAUAUCUGAUUCCGAAGAAGUUAGUUAUUUAAUUAUAUACUAUCAAAUAAUAUCAUGUGUGGUUUCUUGUUUGUGAAUGUAAUAAUAUGUUCUAUAUAUGUCUUGUGUUAAGCAACUACCAUUAAUUUUUUAAUAAAGGGUAUAGAUUAGCCAAGUCCAUUAAUUUUUUAACAUCAUACAAAGACACUUUCAGACUAGUUGAGGUAGAGUUGAAUUACAUUCAUGAUACUCUUUUCACUAAAUUACCUGUGUUGCACCACAAAUUCGGCUACUGCAGCACAACUCUGUACUUCAUUUCAAUUGUUAAUUCAUUUGCGCUCUUCCAUUUUGCGGUAAAUAAGGAACACUUUGGCUUGAUAAAGUGAUAACUGACACUACAUUUGGGCUUGAUAAAGUGAUAACUUACCAAUUCGGCUACUGCAGCAGAACUCUGUCCUUUUGUUGCUAAUUUUAACUACGAUAAUAUCAUUCUUUUAUGGCACGUCGCUACUGAACUCUGCUACAACGUCGACAGUCAAGAUCCACACAGCUUAAAACAGACUGCCAAGCAGCUAUCAUACUACAUGCUAUAUCUUUUGGUCAUGAAGCCUGAUAUGAUGUCCGUUGUUUCUCGAGUCAGGGACAUAUUGUUCCUACUGCUCAUGCUCAGCGACUAAACAGAGGCAGAGAACUAAUUACUGUUGUUUGGUUACUGAUGGCUCAUUUUGGCUUGGGAGAUGAGUAUGAAAUUCUGACAUAUCUCCAAAAGAAUGAAUAGCUGAUUGUUGAAGAAGUUGGUUCUCUUAUAUCAAACAACAGUAUGUGUUGUUUCUUAUUUGUGCAUGUAAUGAUAUGUUCUAUGUAUGCUUUGUUUAAAUUUUCCUUGGCUGGCCUUCCACCAAGGUUUGCUGUGUAACAAGUUUCGUGCUUUGGUCUAAAACUACAGAAAUGUCUCUCUAAUUUUGAAUGAAGAAAUCGGGAACGAAACUUCUACAAGUAUGAAAAACAAUAAAUAAGUAUCAUUAAGUGUUCUAAAAUGUUAUGAAACAAUCUUGACAAAAAACAUACUAUAAAACAACAGCUAUCUACGCAUAUCAUGGAUCGAGAUGUAGCUAAUGUAGUUGUAAAGAAUGACAACUGAUACACGCGUGCAUAAGGUAAUAUUUGUGGAGAGCGCACAUUAGGGGAAAAGCCUGCCUUGCAAAUUAUGAAAAAGCUCCAUUUUCUACAACAUGUCCAGAUCUUUGGAAACUCACUGAUGAAUCCAACCAGCCUUC
This 10558-nucleotide long non-coding RNA is filed under the name Daucus carota (carrot). RNAcentral describes it as "long non-coding RNA (DCAR_LNC001354)". Lineage: Eukaryota; Viridiplantae; Streptophyta; Magnoliopsida; Apiales; Apiaceae. The record is from RNAcentral.